Molecule: ribosomal RNA, 513 nt
Filed under: uncultured bacterium
Lineage: Bacteria
Description: partial 16S ribosomal RNA
Rfam family: Bacterial small subunit ribosomal RNA
Source: RNAcentral
GACGAACGCUGGCGGCAUGCCUAAUACAUGCAAGUCGAGCGAACAGAUGAAGUGCUUGCACUUCUGACGUUAGCGGCGAACGGGUGAGUAACACGUAAGGAAUCUACCUAUAAGCGGGGGAUAACAUUCGGAAACGGGUGCUAAUACCGCAUAAUAUCUUCUUCCGCAUGGAAGAAGAUUGAAAGACGGCUCUGCUGUCACUUAUAGAUGACCUUGCGGUGCAUUAGUUAGUUGGUGGGGUAAUGGCCUACCAAGAUGAUGAUGCAUAGCCGACCUGAGAGGGUGAUCGGCCACAUUGGGACUGAGACACGGCCCAAACUCCUACGGGAGGCAGCAGUAGGGAAUCUUCCGCAAUGGGCGAAAGCCUGACGGAGCAAUGCCGCGUGAGUGAAGAAGGCCUUCGGGUCGUAAAACUCUGUUAUAAGAGAAGAACAAAUUGUAGAGUAACUGCUACAGUCUUGACGGUAUCUUAUCAGAAAGCCACGGCUAACUACGUGCCAGCAGCCGCUGUAA